Long non-coding RNA from Neomonachus schauinslandi (Hawaiian monk seal), 161 nucleotides. RefSeq lists it as uncharacterized. The transcript is spliced from 3 exons. NCBI's taxonomy places the organism in Eukaryota, Metazoa, Chordata, Mammalia, Carnivora, Phocidae. The record is from RefSeq and is a predicted model, not a curated record.
CUAGAACCCAGCAUGGAGGCACGUGAUGUGGAAAUCAGUUCCCCUUCAACCAAGCCGGGCUCUCUAGGACUCUUUACUUGACCCAGUUCAGACCUCACCUCUUCAAAGAAGUCUUUCCUGACACCAUAGAAAUAUUCAUUAAGCAUCUUCUUCAUGUCAAG